RNAcentral lists this ribosomal RNA (410 nucleotides) under uncultured microorganism. RNAcentral's name for it is "bacterial SSU rRNA". It matches the Rfam family "Bacterial small subunit ribosomal RNA", at positions 509 to 917 of the family's 1533-position model. The record is from RNAcentral.
CAGCCGCCGCGGUAAUACGUAGGGUGCGAGCGUUCAUCGGAUUUACUGGGCGUAAAGCGUGCGCAGGCGGCCCGUUAAGACAGGUGUGAAAUCCCUGGGCUCAACCUAGGAAUUGCGCUUGUGACUGGCGGGCUCGAGUACGGUAGAGGGGGGUGGAAUUCCUGGUGUAGCAGUGAAAUGCGUAGAGAUCAGGAGGAACACCGAUGGCGAAGGCAGCCCCCUGGGCCUGUACUGACGCUCAUGCACGAAAGCGUGGGAAGCAAACAGGAUUAGAUACCCUGGUAGUCCACGCCCUAAACGAUGGGUACUAGCCGUUUGGUGCGCGAUAGCGCUGAGUGGCGAAGCUAACGCGUAAAGUACCCCGCCUGGGGAGUACGGCCGCAAGGUUGAAACUUAAAGGAAUUGGCGGG